Molecule: ribosomal RNA, 467 nt
Filed under: uncultured bacterium
Lineage: Bacteria
Description: SSU rRNA
Rfam family: Bacterial small subunit ribosomal RNA
Source: RNAcentral
AGGACUAACGCUGGCGGCGUGCCUAACACAUGCAAGUCGAACGGGGGUAGCAAUACCCCAGUGGCAGACGGGUGAGUAACACGUGGUCAACCUACCUCUGUGUGGGGGAUAACUAGCCGAAAGGUUAGCUAAUACCGCAUACGAUCGUUUUGAGGCAUCUCGAGACGAUGAAAGGAGCAAUCCGCACGGAGAGGGGACUGCGUCCCAUUAGUUAGUUGGUGGGGUAACGGCCUACCAAGACUCCGAUGGGUAGCUGGCUUGAGAGAGCGACCAGCCACACUGGAACUGAGACACGGUCCAGACUCCUACGGGAGGCAGCAGUGAGGAAUUUUCCGCAAUGGGCGAAAGCCUGACGGAGCGACGCCGCGUGUGGGAUGAAGGCCUUCGGGUCGUAAACCACUGUCGAAGGGGACGAUAGUUGACGGUACCCUUGGAGGAAGCCCGGCUAACUACGCGCCAGCAGCCGC